CCCCCUUAAGUUGGAGCAUCAUCGUAAACAACCUUAACUAUUGCAUUUAGCAGCUGAUCAUCCCCUCUACUGACAAUUAUUUAAUUUUUUUCUUGUUAAUAGCCUAUUUAAUUUUUUUUCCUAUUAAGAGUAGGUUUUCUUAUAACAAUUAUAAUUAAGAAAUUUAAUUAAAAUAAAAAGAGGAGCGUGCUAAGCUACAAUAGAUAAGUGAUUUUCAUUAUUUUCUAAGAAAAGCAACAAUAAUAUAAAUUCCAACCCAUUAAUUCUUCACUCUUCCCCAUAAAUUUUUAAAUUCUUUCUCUCUUCUUUCUUUAAUUCUCUAAUCGUAAUAAAAAAAAAAAAAAAAUUCUCUAAUCAAAAUCCUAAAAUUAUAACACUUUUUUCCCUAAAUUUUCGUUCUCUAACCAAAAUCCUAGAAUCCUAUCACCUUUUUGUUUUUUUUUUCUUGGAUGGGAAUUCUCAUUUUCAGAUUCUCUAAUCAAAAUCCUAAAAUUAUAACACUUUUUUCCCUAAAUUUUCGUUCUCUAACCAAAAUCCUAGAAUCCUAUCACCUUUUUGUUUUUUUUUUCUUCUCCUAAUCUGAAAAUGAGAAUUCCCAUCCAAGUAUUUUGAGCUCUCCUCUGAGACUCCUGAUCGCACCGUUUUAAUUCGUCUCCGCUCCCCUGCAAUCUCCAAUCUGCAAAACCCUAAGGUACCCUUUCUCUCCCUCUCUCCGUAAAGACAAUUUGCCUGUUGUAGUGUAGCUAAAUCUCUUCGUAGCCGCCUGAGUUAGGGUUUAAAGCGUUUUAACUUUUUACUCAUCGACUCGUGUGUAUCAGUUAGAUCAAUACGGAGUUCGCUAAUCGUUUUUCAGUGUGGUUUAGGAGAGUUAGUCGAAUCUGGUUUUAGUUAGAUUAGGUUUAACAAAAUUAUUGAGGUAAGAUUUGACUAGUUACUUUUGUUUCAAAUUAAUUUUGAAAAUUCCCUUAGAAAAAAGGUGUAAUAAUGAAGUUAUGUGACUUGUGCGCGUGUCACUGUGCUUCUGGACACUGGUUUGUUUGAAUAGUAGUUGUUCUCUUCUAGAAAAACUCAUUCUACUUAUAUUGUUGGCCUGUAAUACAGGUAG
RNAcentral lists this long non-coding RNA (1105 nucleotides) under Citrus maxima (pomelo). RNAcentral's name for it is "long non-coding RNA (CMAX_LNC003216)". Lineage: Eukaryota; Viridiplantae; Streptophyta; Magnoliopsida; Sapindales; Rutaceae. The record is from RNAcentral.